ACGUUGAAACACAGGUUCUCGUAUGAUCAGCGAAGUUAAGCAACAUUGAGCCUGGUCAGUACCUAGAUGGAUGACUGCAUGGGUAUACAAAGUGCUGUAA
Acanthosepion pharaonis is the source of this 100-nucleotide non-coding RNA. Lineage: Eukaryota; Metazoa; Mollusca; Cephalopoda; Sepiida; Sepiidae. The record is from the annotation of a GenBank genome assembly.